Molecule: ribosomal RNA, 358 nt
Filed under: Escherichia coli
Lineage: Bacteria; Pseudomonadati; Pseudomonadota; Gammaproteobacteria; Enterobacterales; Enterobacteriaceae
Description: bacterial SSU rRNA
Rfam family: Bacterial small subunit ribosomal RNA
Source: RNAcentral
AGUUUGAUCAUGGCUCAGAUUGAACGCUGGCGGCAGGCCUAACACAUGCAAGUCGAACGGUAACAGGAAUCAGCUUGCUGAUUCGCUGACGAGUGGCGGACGGGGGAGUAAUGUCUGGGAAACUGCCUGAUGGAGGGGGAUAACUACUGGAAACGGUAGCUAAUACCGCAUAACGUCGCAAGACCAAAGAGGGGGACCUUCGGGCCUCUUGCCAUCGGAUGUGCCCAGAUGGGAUUAGCUAGUAGGUGGGGUAACGGCUCACCUAGGCGACGAUCCCUAGCUGGUCUGAGAGGAUGACCAGCCACACUGGAACUGAGACACGGUCCAGACUCCUACGGGAGGCAGCAGUGGGGAAUAU